UAGGGAAUCUUCGGCAAUGGACGAAAGUCUGACCGAGCAACGCCGCGUGAGUGAAGAAGGUUUUCGGAUCGUAAAACUCUGUUGUUAGAGAAGAACAAGGACGUUAGUAACUGAACGUCCCCUGACGGUAUCUAACCAGAAAGCCACGGCUAACUACGUGCCAGCAGCCGCGGUAAUACGUAGGUGGCAAGCGUUGUCCGGAUUUAUUGGGCGUAAAGCGAGCGCAGGCGGUUUCUUAAGUCUGAUGUGAAAGCCCCCGGCUCAACCGGGGGGGGUCAUUGGAAACUGGGAGACUUGAGUGCAGAAGAGGAGAGUGGAAUUCCAUGUGUAGCGGUGAAAUGCGUAGAUAUAUGGAGGAACACCGGUGGCGAAGGCGGCUCUCUGGUCUGUAACUGACGCUGAGGCUCGAAAGCGUGGGGAGCAAACAGG
Molecule: ribosomal RNA, 429 nt
Filed under: Gemmatimonadota bacterium
Lineage: Bacteria; Pseudomonadati; Gemmatimonadota
Description: Gemmatimonadetes bacterium partial 16S ribosomal RNA
Rfam family: Bacterial small subunit ribosomal RNA
Source: RNAcentral